Non-coding RNA from Phalacrocorax carbo (great cormorant), 2560 nucleotides. NCBI's taxonomy places the organism in Eukaryota, Metazoa, Chordata, Aves, Suliformes, Phalacrocoracidae. The record is from RefSeq and is a predicted model, not a curated record.
CAGCAGAAAAAGCAAACCUGGGAAAUGAGAAUUUCACUCUGAGGAGAAACACUGUGGUGCCCUCACUCGCGAGCUGUGAAGGGCAGAUCUGCCUCUGGGUUUCCACAGACUAUUCUUCAGCCAUCUUCAUUCAUUGUUGGGAACGACAGCUAAAUAACUCCUAGGCUGUUUCAUAACAGAGAGACUAGCCUCUCUAAGAGCUUCUAGCAUCCGGGUCCUCACAAUCCAAGGAAGAGUCCAUUUAUCAGAGCAUCAGACUGGUGCAUCUGGACAGGAUGGUGGGAGUUAGCCAUGGAGGCCACAGAGUUGCAUUUUCUUCACAUUACUGAAGCAAGUAAGAAAUCCAAAGGCCGCAACUACUGUGCAAACACCACAGCUAAUGGCACACACAGAAACAAGCUGUUCUGAUGGCAGGGAGCUGGGACUGCCUAUCUCCAGGGCAGAGGACAGCCAGGCUGACGCAGGAGGAAGCUUUGGUGGCUGCCCCUUGGAAGAGCUCAUCAGGCUUUUUUGAUAUGACUUAAUGGAGCUGGCUGCAGCGCAGAAACCGCAAUGACUUCAGGCCUGCAGUUUUGCUGUGGCUCAGAGCAGCAGCACACAGGUCCCCCGAGUCGCCCACCGCUGGACGUGACACGUCCCAGGGGAAGCGCUGCUCCUGCCAGGGAGGGGGCGAGAAGCCACCAGAGCAUCAGCCUGCACCCCAGGGAUCCCGGCUCAGCAAGACCUCAACCCCGGGACCCAGGCUUGCUCAGAGGGAUGCUUUUCUGAUGGAUCAGCAGACCCUCGCCAACAUGAGGGCUCCACUUUGCUUGUGCUGCAGAUCACAGUGCUCGAAGCAUUGAAAGAAAGUCUCAACUGAUUAAAGACUUCCAGCAGCAUAGGAGCACUGCAGCCACCAGCAACCUCCAUCCUCUGGCCGCCAACGGCCGCGGCCCUCAGCUUUCUGCCCUCCGGGUCAUCCUCAUGCAUGGACAAUGCUGAAGGGCCUCAUUUUCAAAGGUGACCAGCAAUUUCCAUCGCUCAGCCUGUGACAUCUUAAAAGGAGGUGAGGUUUCUGAAAGCAACAAGCACGCACACUAUGGAAGAAGCCAAGUUGUCUGGAGGUUCUCCAAUACGGCAGUCAGAAAUGAAGGGUUUUCCACAGAAAUAACCUAAAUAAGGUUCAGACUGGAUGCAGAAUUCAUCUUUCCUUUUGGAAGAAUUUACUCAUAGCACACUGUUAGCCUGGGAGAAACAUGGGACCUCCUAGACCUGUAGGGCUAUGUAUGUGCAAGCUGCAUUUAAGGGAAAACAUUGAUUAAUGGACACUGGGAGAAGAGGCUUGUGUCAUCUUUAAAAAUACACUCUUAUGUGUCCGGAUAUCUCACACAGCAGACGACCACAUCACAGAGGAAGAAAGCAUCUGUCAAAACUGGUUUUCUCUUACAUGAACUGGGGUUUUCAAGCUGCCACACUUGUGUCUGUGUUCUACCAAGCAGUACUGUCACAUCCAAGCAUGUAAGAAAGCAUGAGUCACCUCCCUUUGAAAUCAGGAAAUGAGCUUUAAAAAGUACCCAUUUUCUAAAAAAACCCAACAAACCCAUUUUAUUUUUCUCCCUGUAUAUAUGGCAGUCACAGCUUUGGAAUGAAUUCUUAAAUUUUUACAAGAAAUAAAAUGUAAUAUAUUUAUGUAAUCCUGUGAUUCCAGAUGAUGAUGCCUUAUGGGAUCCAUCACGCUGUGAUACUUGCACUUAAUUUGUGAGUCUUAGAGACUGGAAACUGGAUACACGAUUGUCUUACAAAAACGCAAACAAAUUACAAAGAUCCUCAGCUUUUCUUCACAGCAACAAAGAACUUAAUAAAGAAAAGAUGUUAAUACUAAAACUUCUGUAUUUCUGUCCUGCUCUGCUUCUUAUACCAGCCUCCAUAACCUUCUGGUUUCCUCUAGUUUCUUUCUUCCUGAAGUCCCUCUUUUCUAUGUAAAGAAAGUUGACAAAACAACAAUAAAAAAUUAGUUCCAGAAGAAAACCUGAUGCACAAGGUGCACCUUGUUGCACAAGGUCUGGCCCUGUUUCGGGCUCUGCCUGCCAGAUUGGCGGCUCUUGGUGGUGCAGUAGAGGUGGCAUCUUGAGGGGAAGGUGGUGUCACCCCAACUUCUCCAGUGUUGGGGUCUGCCUGUGACAACAGCAGCUGCCCCCCUGCCCCGAGCAUGUCCAGCGAGGCUCUAGGGGGCAAUGCCCCACGGCAGAGGGGCUGGGAGGUUUUUCAUCGGGAUGAUUCGUGCUUCAUUCUUACAAAGGUGCCAAACACAGGAGAUGGUUUUUUUAUCUCCAGAUUAGCAAAUGGGCCUUUCUGGGCCUUUUCUUGUGCAGGUGCAUCAGUUCAAGAAAACUGAUGCAUGCCUGCCUGUCAUCUCUUUCUAGCACUUGGCUGAUAUUAAAGCAAAGCAUGAUUGUCUUAGUUUCUAGUGUGUUAGGGCUUAUCACUCAUUACCUUUGGAAUGAUAAGUGUGUAUUUUCAGCUAUGGCAACAAUUUGGAUGGAGAAACACAUUGAGAUACUUUAAAAUAUGCAAAAUAAAG